Molecule: long non-coding RNA, 1671 nt
Filed under: Salmo salar (Atlantic salmon)
Lineage: Eukaryota; Metazoa; Chordata; Actinopteri; Salmoniformes; Salmonidae
Description: lncRNA (ENSSSAG00000097137.1)
Source: RNAcentral
UUAACUCCUUCCAUUGUUAUUUUCUGUUGUUACCUCUAUUCAUCCAUUCUCAUCAUAUAUAUGGAUGUAUAUAUUGUAUUGUUAUGCUGUACUGUAUGUAGCAUAUUGUAUUGUUUUACACUGUUAGUGUGUGGAUAAUUUUAAAUGCACUUUAUUUAAAGCUUGGUGUGAUGUAUUUCUCUGCCGCCCUUCAGGCCAGUGCCCCACCCUGAACCUGAUGAUAAGGACCCGGGGCAACGUGACAUCGGUGAACAAGCAGGCGGUGAGCUCCCGGGUCAGCACCAUGAGGGAGUACUCCCACCCCUCCUCAGCCCACAGGUCUCAUACUCUCCAACCUGAACUUCAUUAUAAUAGGCAUUUGAAUUGGGAGAGUUUGGCAUUUUUUAAAUGGUUACAACCCAAGCCAGGUGAGGGCGGUGAGAAAACAGUAUGUCCAUCAUCAGAAACCAGCAACGCACCCCCAAAAUCUGCCUGAUACACGGACCCCCAGGAACAGGAAAGAGCAAAACCAUUGUGGGCCUGCUGCAAAAAACAUUUGCUGAGUACCAUGAGCUGGCAGAGAAAGUACAGACUGCUCCGAGAGAGACAGACUCGGCUACGAGCUAAAACAGUCUUGCAUUAGGAAGCAGGAGACCCAGCCCUGUGUCUUACAGGAUACGCAUGUGGUCUGCUGCACCCAGAGCACGAGCUGCAGCUCCGCCCUGGAGUCGGCCCUCCAGUGCCUGGGACAUGAGCCCUUCAGUUGCAUCAUCGUGGACGUGCCUAACCUGGCCAAACCUGGACGACACUGGGCCAAUUGUGCGCUGCCCUAUGGGACUCCCAAUCACGGCUGGAUGUGAUACACCCUGGAUUCAAACCAAGGAUUGUAGUGACGCCUUUUGCAUUGAGAUGCAGUGCCUUAGACCGCUGCGCCACUCAGGAACACCAGUCUUACCCAGUUUGACUGAAUCUCCUCUACUCGAUCUGUAUGAAUGUGAGGACCAACCCCUUGUCUUUGUGUUUGUUGUGUCUCCAUGGCACUGUGUGCAGGCAGGGCAGACCACUGAGACGGAGACACUCAUUCCCAUGCUCUACCUCAUCCUUGUGGGAGACCCUGAUCAGCUGCACCCUACUGUCAUCUCUGAGGACCUGAGCCCUAGGACCAUGCCUCAGGACUACCUGGUAUGAUGACUCCUUGCUGUCCCCAGUCCACCUGGCCGUGCUGCUGCUCCAGUUUCAACUGUUCUGCCUGCGGCUAUGGAACCCUGACCUGUUCACCGGACGUGCUUGUUGCACCCUCGACAACUACUAUGAUUAUUAUUAUUUGACCAUGCUGGUCAUUUAUGAACAUUUUAACAUUUUAACAUCUUGACCAUGUUCUGUUAUAAUAUCCACCCUGCACAGCCAGAAGAGGACUGGCCACCCCUCAUAGCCUGGUUCCUCUCUAGGUUUCUUCCUAGGUUUUUGGCCUUUCUAGGGAGUUUUUCCUAGGGAGUUUUUCCUAGCCACCGUGCUUCUUUCACAUGCUUUGCUUGCUGUUUGGGGUUUUAGGCUGGGUUUCUGUACAGCACUUUGAGAAUAUCAGCUGAUGUACGAAGGGCUAUAUAAAAAUAAAUUUGAUUUGAUUUGAUUUGAUCAUUUUGGAGUCACUUUUAUUGUAAAUAAGCAUAGAAUAUGUUUCUGAACAAUUCU